CUUCCGUAGGUGAACCUGCGGAAGGAUCAUUACCGAGUGAGGGCCCUCUGGGUCCAACCUCCCACCCGUGUUUAUCGUACCUUGUUGCUUCGGCGGGCCCGCCGAUCAGGCCGCCGGGGGGCAUCCGCCCCCGGGCCCGCGCCCGCCGAAGACACCAUUGAACGCUGUCUGAAGAUUGCAGUCUGAGCGAUUAGCUAAAUCAGUUAAAACUUUCAACAACGGAUCUCUUGGUUCCGGCAUCGAUGAAGAACGCAGCGAAAUGCGAUAAGUAAUGUGAAUUGCAGAAUUCAGUGAAUCAUCGAGUCUUUGAACGCACAUUGCGCCCCCUGGUAUUCCGGGGGGCAUGCCUGUCCGAGCGUCAUUGCUGCCCUCAAGCACGGCUUGUGUGUUGGGCCCCGCCCCCUGGCUACCAGGGGGCGGACCCGAAAGGCAGCGGCGGCACCGCGUCCGGUCCUCGAGCGUAUGGGGCUUCGUCACCCGCUCUGUAGGCCCGGCCGGCGCCCGCCGGCGACCCCCCUCAAUCUUUCUCAGGUUGACCUCGGAUCAGGUAGGGAUACCCGCUGAACUUAAGCAUAUCAAUAAGC
This 584-nucleotide ribosomal RNA is filed under the name Penicillium sp. NT34. Its description in RNAcentral is "eukaryotic LSU rRNA". The stretch from base 208 to 361 matches the Rfam family "5.8S ribosomal RNA". The record is from RNAcentral. Lineage: Eukaryota; Fungi; Ascomycota; Eurotiomycetes; Eurotiales; Aspergillaceae.